This is a long non-coding RNA of Halichondria panicea, 1156 nucleotides long. RefSeq lists it as uncharacterized. The record is from RefSeq and is a predicted model, not a curated record. Lineage: Eukaryota; Metazoa; Porifera; Demospongiae; Suberitida; Halichondriidae. The transcript has 2 exons.
GGAGAAAAGGGACUGGUGACUCUGGGCUACAGCUUGUGUAAAUCAGGAAUGCUAUUAACUAUUAAUGUCACGUGCAAAUUAUCCAAUUUAUUCUGAUGCGUCAAAAGCUAAAGACACACAGAAGACAAGUAUACAGAUCUAUCUAGCCAGCCUUUUGAUUUUAUAGAUCCUUGUACCAGUGUCUGUUGUGCCACAACUUGUGGAUUAGCAUGGAACAGCUGAUGAACGUAGAAAUCUUGGCAGUCCUUCUUUGAACCGAGGAGUGGCAGCGAUUUAAGACAGCUUGUACAAGUCUGACUACUCUCAAUUCAACUGCUGCCCUCUGCCAUUAUCUGUCUUGUAUUGUACAGGUUAUUAAAAGCUUUAGGCAACCAAUGACUUUCGGCUGCCAGUUCUCAUCACGUAAAACUAAAACAAGCUAAUCUCUGCUGGUGUCUUAGAUGACUAUAUCCUAGCUGAAUGCCUGAUGAUGUUAUUACUCCAUCAUCUUCUCUUUUCUAGCACUAGCAUCCAUUCUUAAACUGUAGCUAAGAAGCCCGCGAUCACUUUUGCAGGCUACGCAAUUCUACUUAACCUCACGCAAUUUUUGGAUCACGUGGAAAAAUCAAUGAAUAAUCUCUACCCAAAUUCUGGUAGAGACACAAAAUGUGUCCCAGAGUCACCAGUCCCUUUUCUCCCGCCCCCGUCCAAUCAGAGAAAAGGGAGUGGCUUGCGAGUCUACCUUCACAAGGCCUAAAUAGCGGCCUGGAAUCGAGGCUAGAACUUGAUGAGUCAGUCAUGCAGGAAACACAUUGUGCUUGAAAACAGAUGACCUUUUUUUUUUUUUUUUUUUAGUAAAAUAUUUUUAGCUCCCCCUAUCAAGAAUCCUGGAUCCACCCCUGAAUGUGAUGCACAUAAUUAUAAGUAAAGACCUACAUGUACAGAGUGUUAUGUACACAGAAGCACAGAGAAAGAGGCGUGAGUGACCUGGGGUCGAUCACUGGUGACUAGGUAUAGGAGUGACCGGGAGACAUUAUUUGGGGAGUCACUCGCUCCUAUAACACCGUCCGGUCAUGGCCGGUGGUAUGUUCAGGCCUAUGGCCGAUAAUAGUCAUGUCCAUUCUAAGUUGUUUUUUGUUCAUGUUGUAUUAUGCUCGGCAUGUGAUAUGUUCUAUAG